This is a long non-coding RNA of Marmota flaviventris (yellow-bellied marmot), 206 nucleotides long. RefSeq lists it as uncharacterized. The record is from RefSeq and is a predicted model, not a curated record. Lineage: Eukaryota; Metazoa; Chordata; Mammalia; Rodentia; Sciuridae.
GGGAGCCUCAUUUUGAGAAGCUGAGCUGAGGAGUCCUGGUGGAGCCACAUGCCCUCCUGUCUGCAGGAGAGGCGCCCCUCCCUCAGCAUGGGAGAACUCAGCUCUCAGUGCUUCUCUGAAGGCAGCUUCAUACUGCAUUUUAAUCCAAGGGUGCUCUAUCAUGGAGCUACAUCCCCAGCUCACUACUAUUUUUUUUUUAAGACAGG